Long non-coding RNA from Conger conger (European conger), 413 nucleotides. RefSeq lists it as uncharacterized. Lineage: Eukaryota; Metazoa; Chordata; Actinopteri; Anguilliformes; Congridae. The transcript has 3 exons. The record is from RefSeq and is a predicted model, not a curated record.
UUUUUGACAGUGGAAUUCCACUGGCAGUGAAUAUGAAGCAUUCUGCGAAAGAUGCCCUUAUCAGCUUCACCAUCCGACUUGGAAGUACAGCAGCCCUGGGAGCCAGCCACAGGAAGUGGCACCUUAUGAGGUACUGACGCAGUGGGUACAGACAGCGCCUGGGUGGAUGUGGCCAAUAUCUGCUUGUGACUUGCGGUGAAGAUGAUCCAUUGCUCAGUUCAACAACUUCGGUCUUGACUCUUGCACCGUCAUCGACCCUGAGCCUGCCUACCAUCCGCCUGUACUUCUGCCCCGCUAACAGCUUUCCUGGCUACCAGACUUUUUGCAUGGUGUACCGAUUACGAGACUGCCUUCUCCCUUGGUACUGUACUUUGGUUUUGGCUGGAUUUUACAUGUAUGAACAUUGCUUGUUU